RNAcentral lists this ribosomal RNA (585 nucleotides) under uncultured bacterium. RNAcentral's name for it is "partial 16S ribosomal RNA". It matches the Rfam family "Bacterial small subunit ribosomal RNA", at positions 355 to 938 of the family's 1533-position model. The record is from RNAcentral.
UGGGGAAUUUUGGACAAUGGGCGAAAGCCUGAUCCAGCAAUGCCGCGUGUGUGAAGAAGGCCUUCGGGUUGUAAAGCACUUUUGUCCGGAAAGAAAUCCUUGGCUCUAAUACAGUCGGGGGAUGACGGUACCGGAAGAAUAAGCACCGGCUAACUACGUGCCAGCAGCCGCGGUAAUACGUAGGGUGCAAGCGUUAAUCGGAAUUACUGGGCGUAAAGCGUGCGCAGGCGGUUUGCUAAGACCGAUGUGAAAUCCCCGGGCUCAACCUGGGAACUGCAUUGGUGACUGGCAGGCUAGAGUAUGGCAGAGGGGGGUAGAAUUCCACGUGUAGCAGUGAAAUGCGUAGAGAUGUGGAGGAAUACCGAUGGCGAAGGCAGCCCCCUGGGCCAAUACUGACGCUCAUGCACGAAAGCGUGGGGAGCAAACAGGAUUAGAUACCCUGGUAGUCCACGCCCUAAACGAUGUCAACUAGUUGUUGGGGAUUCAUUUCCUUAGUAACGUAGCUAACGCGUGAAGUUGACCGCCUGGGGAGUACGGUCGCAAGAUUAAAACUCAAAUGAAUUGACGGGGUCAUAGCAGUUUCCU